Long non-coding RNA from Andrographis paniculata, 1958 nucleotides. RefSeq lists it as uncharacterized. The record is from RefSeq and is a predicted model, not a curated record. The transcript has 5 exons. NCBI's taxonomy places the organism in Eukaryota, Viridiplantae, Streptophyta, Magnoliopsida, Lamiales, Acanthaceae.
CAGUCGCACAUUCUUCUUGUUCGCUCCUCUAUUCUUUCCUUUCUUUCUUUUUCUUUCCGACAGCGUCUCCGACCAACCUUUGACCGCCGACCCAACCACCAGUCCGUUACGCAACCGUCGCACCACACAGCCUUGCGACUCCUCUUUGUGUUCCACCGACCAGCGACGCCGCCUACCAUCGCGCUCAACCCAAGCUACCGCAUUCGACAUCUGACCAGCGUCUUCCUCUCCAUCAGCCAAGCAGCCGCAUUGCCCAGACGGCCAGCCCCGCGCCUAGCUACCUCAUGCCGUUGUGACCUCGCUUUCUGUGCCUCCAGCCGCUCCGUGAACCGCCGAAGACCACCGCCCUAAUCUUUAAUCCUUGAUUAGGUCAGGUAAUUCAAAUUUUGGAAUCUUAGGCAAACCUGUCUCCAGCUGCAGACAAGCGCCCUAUGCUUGGUACCACUUUCCUUUUAUGCCAAGAAGUAACAUGAUGAUAAGACAACUAUACCUUCCAAGUGCCAUUGCUCACUGGUGCUAAACUGAGAUUUGAUUAGUCACGGCUGUAUGGCUAUAAUUGACUUUAUUUCAGGUAUGAAAAUUAUCAAAAUCACUAGGAAAUAUUACUUUCAAAUAGGUAGUAAAGCAAAAGUGUAAUCAAGCUUGUGUUUUGACAAUUCAGUUGUGGAGAUUGACUUUUCUUCAUUUGUUGUAGUAGUCAUGUCUGAAUUUAUCGCUAGCUGAAGUCCAACUUAUUAUUUGUCAAUUGGUUGUACAAUAAAAAUUGUUCACUAGCUUUAUGGAUUGCUUGUAUUGAUGAUUUCAUAAGUUUAUUCACAUUGAGUGUAAAUGGUAAUCAUUAUAAUGACCUGUUUUUAUAUCAUGAGCUAGGCCAAGUGAAAGGAGCUACAUGCAUUUAUUUCUAAUUUGUGGGUCUUUAAGUUUGUUGGUUGAUUUAUGAAAUCCCAAUCUAUUGCAUGGAUUUAUUUUGUGAUUCUUGAGAAUGAAUUGUUUGCUUUUGCAUUAUUUUGUUUGUGGGAAUUUGUCUGCCCAAAAUUUAUGGGGCUUGGUAUUUACCUGUAUUGUUUGAACAUGUUUGUCUUGCACUUGAGUAUAAUCAAUUUAUAUUGCUCAGAACUAAGUUGAAUGCAUUGGAGAAUAACAUCAUGUAUAUGCUCAAAAAUCAAGCCGAUUAACUACAUCAAUAGUUAGAGAAAUGGUUCCGUAUUUUUUAAGCUAAAACCUUGGCUUGACUAUAUCUAUAAAUUACUUUCUUUUAAUUAUCAGAAAAUAUAAUAUAUUUGCUUACGGUAAAGUUUGAGAUAUCUUGAAUACUGAAAUGCUACUUAAUAAUCAAUUCAAUACUUCGCUCUCAUGAGUACAUGAUAUUUAAAUCUAUGUGCAUCACAGGUAGACAGGCUUCAGACGUUGUACAAAAGUUGGGAAGAGGACCCAGAUGUUGAGUUUGUAGUUUUGAAUAUUGUCUUUUUACCUCCCAAGUCACUUGUAUUUUAUUUUCUUGUUUUCGCCUAACAUAUGGUUGAAAAAUUUUGAAAGGUAGAGAGACAAGGCAUUUGCAGUUGGUGGUGAUAUUGUGUCCAUCUAUAAUAUACUGAAAGAAGCUGCUACCGUUCCGGAGGCUGCGUUAAUUCACGAAAGAUGUCUGAAGUGCAAACACUCUGUGAGUUUGUCCACAUCAAGCCAAUCGACUGGACAUUCAAGGAUCUUGUUCGUCAUGCGUAACUGCCGUGUAUAUUCACUUUGACGCUGCAUGGGGCGAUGCAACGUUGCAUGUAAUUCUAUGAUGAUAAUUUUUGUUUGUGGAUUGAUACUGACUAAGUCCUUUACGUAGGUUGAACUUGCAUAUAUAUGUUGCUUCCUUUUGUGUGUUUGUUGCUAUGCUUUGCCUUUGGAUUGUAUAUGUUGGUUGUAUUGCGAACUAGUUAUGUUCCUAGACAGUGUGUACUUUGUGCUACUAA